Molecule: ribosomal RNA, 433 nt
Filed under: uncultured bacterium
Lineage: Bacteria
Description: partial 16S ribosomal RNA
Rfam family: Bacterial small subunit ribosomal RNA
Source: RNAcentral
AGCGAACGCUGGCGGCAGGCUUAACACAUGCAAGUCGAGCGGACCUUUCGGGGUCAGCGGCGGACGGGUGAGUCACGCGUGGGAACGUGCCUUCCGGUUCGGAAUAACCCUGGGAAACUAGGGCUAAUACCGGAUACGCCCUUAUGGGGAAAGGUUUACUGCCGGACGAUCGGCCCGCGUCUGAUUAGCUAGUUGGUGGGGUAAUGGCCUACCCAGGCGACGAUCAGUAGCUGGUCUGAGAGGAUGAUCAGCCACACUGGGACUGAGACACGGCCCAGACUCCUACGGGAAGCAGCAGUGGGGAAUAGUGGACAAUGGGCGCAAGCCUGAUCCAGCCAUGCCGCGUGAGUGAUGAAGGCAUUAGGGUUGUAAAGCUCUUGUAUCCGGGACGAUAAUGACGGUACCGGAGGAAUAAGCCCCGGCUAACUUCGUG